AUUGAACGCUGGCGGCAUGCCUUACACAUGCAAGUCGAACGGUAACGGGCCUUCGGGUGCCGACGAGUGGCGAACGGGUGAGUAAUGCAUCGGAACGUACCUUUCAGUGGGGGAUAACGUAGCGAAAGUUACGCUAAUACCGCAUAUUCUGUGAGCAGGAAAGCAGGGGAUCGCAAGACCUUGCGCUGAUUGAGCGCCGAUGUCAGAUUAGCUAGUUGGUGAGGUAAAGGCUCACCAAGGCGACGAUCUGUAGCGGGUCUUGAGAGGAUGAUCCGCCACACUGGAACUGAGACACGGUCCAGACUCCUACGGGAGGCAGCAGUGGGGAAUUUUGGACAAUGGGGCAACCCGUGAUCCAGCCAUGCCGCGUGAGUGAAGAAGCC
RNAcentral lists this ribosomal RNA (383 nucleotides) under uncultured bacterium. RNAcentral describes it as "bacterial SSU rRNA". It matches the Rfam family "Bacterial small subunit ribosomal RNA", at positions 30 to 415 of the family's 1533-position model. The record is from RNAcentral.